This 253-nucleotide ribosomal RNA is filed under the name uncultured bacterium. RNAcentral describes it as "partial 16S ribosomal RNA". It matches the Rfam family "Bacterial small subunit ribosomal RNA", at positions 524 to 776 of the family's 1533-position model. The record is from RNAcentral.
UACAGAGACUGCAAGCGUUAUUCGGAUUCACUGGGCGUAAAGGGUGCGCAGGCGGCCAAGUGUGUUAGGCGUGAAAGCCUGGGGCUUAACCCCAGAAUUGCACCUAAAACUACAUGGCUAGAGCAUUGGAGAGGGAUGCAGAAUUCCAGGUGUAGCGGUGAAAUGCGUAGAUAUCUGGAGGAAUACCGGUGGCGAAGGCGGCAUCCUGGACCGACAUUGACGCUGAGGAGCGAAAGCCAGGGGAGCAAACGGG